UAACUAUUAUUUUUGAGUUCAUUCAACAUCUAUCAGAGAUUUAAGUUAACAGUAAAUAUUGUUUUGAGUUUUUACAACUACACUAAAGUUAAGAGUUUAUGGAACUUGAAAAAUAGAUUAAACCAUAAUCAAAUAUUUUAAUGUCAAACAUACGCCCUCUAGUGGCGGUUUUUACCCAAGAGUGACGUCAUCGCUGAACGUGCACGCGCGUGUUUCCACAGAUACCCAGAUGUUCGCGCAUGCAGGGCAGUUGGAUUCGAGAGCUGUCCAAAUACAUGUAUUUUUAUUUCGAUGGCUACAAAAAUAUGCAAGUAUUCAGCUGUUUCAAAUAAUGUUGCAGUCUAAUUAUAGUCGAUAUCGGCUACACUCACACCAUCCACACACGUUAGGUUUUCCAGUUAAUACAAUGUGUACAGUUUUUCAGAAUAUUUAGAAUUAGCUACCAGUUAAAGUGUACAAACAUAUCUAAAUGUCUCUAACGUUAGGAUAUUAAAUGAUGCAGCGCACAUGCAUUAUUUAUGUUAACGUUAGGUCUUUCUGAACAUUUCGUCGUGUAUUUUUUCUAUACGUGAAGUCAGCUGCAGGUUAUCUGAUGAAAGUACCUGUUCUAUCUGUUUAAAAGUCAUAUAAAAGUCAUCUGAACCUAACAGGCCUGUCGAGUCCACGUUGUUCCCGCAAUUCCAGUUCCUAAGGUGGAGUCAGCUGCAGAUCAUUUGAUGAAAAUCCAUGUUCAAUCUGUUUUAUUUGUGUUAUCAUUUCUUCGACCUUUUGCUGCAUAAAAGUAACUUACGCAGGAAUGAGAUCAUUACCAGUCCAUCACCAGUGAAAGAGAUCCUUGGACGCUGGCCAGCUCUACGUUUGAAAUCACAGGUAUGUGCUGAAUUUCAGCGCAUUACCAACCAGAAUUUGACAAACACAUUUUACGCAGAGCUAGACCGCCACAGUUUUCGCCUGAUGACUUUAUAUCGACAGAGAGCAGCGAAGACUGGAAAAACUGCUGAUGCACUUGCUGAAUUUCUUCGGGGUCAUGACUUAAAGGAUCAACAUGAUGUACACACAAGCUGAACAACAGUGCUCUGUGUGCUUCCUGUGUAUCUGAGAGAAGACGCCUCAAAAUUCUUUAAAACAUGCACGAUUGAAGAUGAAUUAGAAGAGCCAGAUGUUGAUUCAUCAGUUGCCCUUUUGACCUUCGUCCGAGAACUCCCAGACAUUGCUCUUCAGCACAAUCAAGAGAAGAUUUCGAUCAUCCUUGAGAAUGAAGUUGUCAUAACAGGCCUGCAGAGACUCUCUGAUGCUUUCCUUUUGAUGUUUGGCUUAAUCUAUGCAUUGGAUCUUUCAUAUCCAAAAGAGAUGGCCAACACAUUUGAGUUUAUUCAGAAGGUUCUUUUGGGUCUUGAUGAUGGCAAACUUAAGCCAAGGGUGCUGGCUCUAAAGAAUGACUUGCUGAUUCAUGCACAGUAAUUUUAUACUGUUUGCCUGUGUUGUGUUGUUUUCUUUGAUAUCAGGCAUAUGUGCAAGAUUUCAACAAGAGUUCUUAUUAAAAGAAUGGUGCUUUGCCUAAAAUGUAAACAAAAACAAAAAUAGCAAUUUCUUCUGUCACAAAGUUCAAUAAAAUUUGUAGACAGCAGAUCAAGAAAGCUUAUUCCUGUUUUGUAUUCAUUAAGGUAAUAUUUUAAUUGAUUUUCUUUGACCAGGUGUGCCUUUUUUUGUAGCACAGAACUGUUUUCACUGUUUUUGUUGGCAUAAUGGCUGUUUAGGUAAUAUUUAAAUGUAUUUUCUUUGACCUGGUGUGCCUUUUUGUUGCACAGAACUGUUUAA
This is a long non-coding RNA of Onychostoma macrolepis, 1818 nucleotides long. RefSeq lists it as uncharacterized. NCBI's taxonomy places the organism in Eukaryota, Metazoa, Chordata, Actinopteri, Cypriniformes, Cyprinidae. The record is from RefSeq and is a predicted model, not a curated record. The transcript has 5 exons.